Molecule: long non-coding RNA, 3948 nt
Filed under: Nicotiana tabacum (common tobacco)
Lineage: Eukaryota; Viridiplantae; Streptophyta; Magnoliopsida; Solanales; Solanaceae
Description: long non-coding RNA (NTAB_LNC017707)
Source: RNAcentral
UUUGAGAUCAGCUCAAGAGACUAUUCACAGAUCUUUAGGGAUAUUUAAUGGCAGAAUAUCCUAAUAGAUAUCCGUACUUAUUCAUAUUUGAUAUCCCGGUCCCCUUACUCUAUAAAGUUUCAAGUGGACACCUGAACUUGUUCAAACAUGAUAUUCUAAACACCUCCACGGUUGUGUGUCUAUUAGGGUAUUCUGGACUCCGGACUCCGGACUCCUUCCCAUAGUAAAAGUUACCCUAACCCCUAUAAGUAGUUUUUUAUUUUUAAUCCCUUUGCUUCUUACUAACAGAAAUAAGAGAGGAAGAGCCGAAUAAGGAAUUGAGGGAGAUCAAAGAUCAAGGGACAAAGUAACGUUCGUAAUGGGUGCAAGACCGGGUAUGCUCUAAUUUUCUUCCUUGAAGUUUUAAGCUAUUACUUGUAGAUUUUAACGUGUGAUCAUAUGCGGAUUUAUAAUUUAAGUUCUAUAAUUUAAUUUUUAAGUUUUUAUCAAUGAAUUUAAUAUAUUUUUAUUAUUAUGAAUUCAAAUUAAUUAUUUAUUAUAAUUUUAAUGAAUAUUUAUAUAUAAAUUCGUACUUCGAUUUGAAAGUAGCAUCGGCUGAACUCGAUCCUAUAAGGCUUUGUUCGCCUUUGGGUGUGAUCGUAUUAAUGAAAACUCUACUUUAUGAAAGUCCUACACGAGUUAUUCAUAUUUUUUUUGUAAACGUUAUAUUGAUCUUUAAACUUCCACGAUUGAAGUCGUAUUAGUCCUUAGUUAUUACAGAUUAGAUUUCUGCAUAUAUUAUUUUUGUUUAUUUUUUAUUUUUAAAAAGUUGCCAAGCAAUUGAAUUACUUUUUAAUUAUUUUUCUUUAAAACGUUAUUUAUACAUUAGAAUUUGUAUUUAAAAGGAACAUGUAGUUUAGUACUUGUUUAUCGUAUUAUUUACUUAAGCAGAAGCUUAUACAAUGCUUUAUUGUCAUAGAUCCGUGGUCACAGUAUCGAAUAAUGAGGAUUAUUAUUCAAGAUGACACCUACAGAGACGUGAUUAAUUGGCGUUCAUUAUCAUUAUCAUUUUUGCCGCAUGGAUUUGAGGAUAUUAUAGAUGUGUAACACCCCGGAAACAAAUUCGAAAUACUUAAACGCUAGUAAGAAAGUUGAUGUGCGCUAAUUAUAUUAUUUUGUAUGCAGACAAGGGCUAUUAAUAUAAUGGAUAUCAAUUAGAUAUAAUAAUAAGUGUACGAGGCAUAUUAUAAGUAAUGUGGGGUCUAAGAAGAGCCCCAAGGCUAUGUCAAGUUGAAAAUUAUAUGAUGGGAUAAUAUUUCAAGUGAGUUCGCACAAGACCUACCUUCAAACGAGCAUAACUGGCAUGAUAUGAAGAGUUAUAUGGUGCAUUACCUAUCAAUAGAAAGGUUUAUGUGUCUAAUUUCUAAUUCUUCAAACCGUUCAUCAUUCGGACAUACAUACAAUACGUUAUGACCAAAUUACCAAAGGAUGACAGAAGGUGAUUCUGCGGCCAAUUCUGCGAUCGCAAAAGUGAUUAUGCAACCACAAAACUGGUCGCAGACCUGGCCAACGUAGCCCAGUUCUGGGAAUCGAUUCUGUGGCGCAUUGUGCGACCCGUAUACCCAUUCUGCGGUCCAUUAUGUGACUGCAAAUCUGAUUUCGAAGAGUUAAUUUUUCUAUUUUCAUAACCCGACCCAAUUUUGAUAAAUAGGUUUUGGGGCUUAUUUUGGGGGGUUUUUCUUAGGGUUUUAGAGAGAGGUAAGAUAAUUUUAGAGAGAGAAGGAGGAAACCUAACAUUCUAAUCAUCCAAUCUUGCACCAAUCUUCAAGAAUCAAUGAAGCUAAUCACAAGAUCUUCAUCUAAGAGGUAAUGUUCUAUACCCUAAUCUUUAAUUUCGAGUUUGGGGUAAACGAUGGGUGAUUGAGAGUAUGAUUCUUGGGUGUAAGAGUAUUAUGUAUACAUGUAUGGAUUUAUUAUGAAAAUAUGAGUAUGAAUCAAGUAUUGGAACUCAUGGUAUAGUGAUUGGAAGCCAUAAAUUCUCAAUUUAAAUGAAUACCCAUUGUAGAAAUUGAAAAUUGAUUAUUUGAUGGAAUUUUGUUGGUUGGGUGAGAAUGGUUGGUCACACAUGUGAUGUUAGGAUUAUAAGUUAUUAAAGAAUGAUGGUGGGAUGAAUUAUUGGUAAAUGAUGGUAGUUGGAAGAACUAAUUCUAUGGUUAAGAAAUGUAUAAAUGUAAGCCCACUAGGUAUUUGGUAAAUUAUCUAAAUGGCCUAAACUAUGGAAUUAGUUACUAAUGUUGGUCCCAUUGGAAGUUGAUAUUGUAGAUUGAAAUUACUUAGCAUAGUAGAUCGUUGUAGUAUCAUUAAGAGGUGAAUUUCAGUUUCGAAUCGUUGGUGUUGAAUUGAGGAGACAAGAAGGCAUUCAGAGGUGGAUAUGCACAGAAUGAAAUUUCCUGAGUAUUGAUUAGCUUGCACGACGUUGGGUUCGUCUUGUUGAGGUAAGUAACACUUCUAAAAUCGGAGCUGAGGGUAUGGACCCUGAAUAUACGUGUUAUGUUAUUUAUUUGGAGGUGACAAACAUGCUAGGUGACGGGCGUGUGGGCGUGCACCGUUGAAAUUAUGACGUAAUUGAUUUAGUGGAAUUUUAUAGUAAACUAAUCUUGGCAUUUUCCUUGUAUUGUCAUAUGUUAAAGGAAUUUGAGCUGAGAAUCAUGUUAAAAUCAUGCUGAGGCUAUAUGCCAGUAUUAUUGAGACCCAUAGAGGUCAUAUUGUUGUUGAAUUUGUUUAAAUUGAAAUUUGAAACUCAGUCAUGUUCAUUCAUUUCAUAUCAUAUCAUAUCUCAGUCUCUGUUGCUAUUUAUUGAUACAUUAUAUUAUUAUUUUGGGCUAGUUUUCAUGACAUCAUAAACCCGAGAAACUGGAGAGGUUGAUGACUGAGUGAGGCCGAAGGCCUAAUUGUGAGGAUAUUUAUGGGAUUGGGCUACACAGCGCAACAUGUUCAUUGUUAUAUGCCAUGAUUGGCUUGUAUAGCGUUUGGGCUGAAAGAGCCCCUCCGGAGUCGGUACACACCCCUAGUGAGCGCAGGUACCUACUGAGUGCGAGUGCCGAGUGAUUUGGGAGGAUUGAGUGACUGUGAGGCAUGGGUGACUGAGAGGAUUGAGUGAUUGAGAGGACUGAGUGACUGAGAGGAUUGAGUGACUGCGAGGACUGAGUUAAUUGAUAUUCCGAGAGUAUGCAUAUGGUUUUAUCACUAUGUUGUAUUGCAUUGACAUGCACAUUGACAUGUAGGCAUAGAGAUGUACUUUUCUCAUGCCAUUUGAAAAUAAAAUUUCCUAUCGUGGAAGAAAAUUUUUGGGAAAAAUUACAGUUUUCAGACUUACUCAUAUUUUGGUAAUUUCAGUGAAAAGAAUUGAGUUUUACUAUUAUACUUGAAAAGAAAAUAUUUAUUUUUUUGGAACUGUGAACGAGCUGAGCAUUUUAUUAUUGAGUUAUUCUUUGUGUUGCCUCAAUCUUUGAGCAUUUUACUGGAUAUUGGUGUGGAUUCUGACCUUGGUACAAGCUCGUCGCUACUUUCAACCUAAGGUUAGGUUUGUUACUUAUUGAUUACAUGGGGUCGGUUGUACUCAUACUAUACUUCUGCACCUUGCGUGCAGAUUUUGGAUGCUGAUGUUGCUGUGCAUGGCGGGAGAUAGCAUUGAAGAUGUACCUACGAUCCAGUCACAGCUGCCUCUUGUUCUUGGUAGCUUUAGAAUUAUUAAUCUGUUCAUGUAUAUUUCAAACAGAUGAUGUAUUUUAUUGCACACCAACUUUGUAAAUUCAAAUCUUAGAAGCUCACAAUUUGUACUACCAGUCCUUGGGGAGUGCAUUAGAGUCAGUUAAAUAUUAAUUGAAUCGUAUUGUUGUUAUUUGACUUACCUAGCAGGUGAGGUUAGGUAUCAUCACGGCUAGUUGGAUUUUGAGUGGUGACAAGAUG